GCGCCUCUCUCUCCGCCCACUCGGCCGCCACGUGGCAGCCGAGUGAGGGCCUCGUGGCAACGC
Oryza glumipatula is the source of this 63-nucleotide non-coding RNA. The record is from Rfam. NCBI's taxonomy places the organism in Eukaryota, Viridiplantae, Streptophyta, Magnoliopsida, Poales, Poaceae.